AACGGCGAGUGAAGCGGCAAGAGCUCAAAUUUGAAAUCUGGCCUCCUCCGGGGGGUCCGAGUUGUAAUUUGCAGAGGAUGCUUCGGGUGCGGCCCCCGUCUAAGUUCCUUGGAAUAGGACGUCAGAGAGGGUGAGAAUCCCGUCUUGGGCGGGCGGCCCGCGCCCGUGUGAAGCUCCUUCGACGAGUCGAGUUGUUUGGGAAUGCAGCUCUAAGCGGGUGGUAAAUUUCAUCUAAAGCUAAAUAUUUGCCGGAGACCGAUAGCGCACAAGUAGAGUGAUCGAAAGGUUAAAAGCACCUUGAAAAGGGAGUUAAACAGCACGUGAAAUUGUUGAAAGGGAAGCGCUUGCGGCCAGACUCGGGGGCGGGGUUCAGCGGGCGCUCGUCGCCCGUGCACUCCCCGCGCCCCGGGCCAGCAUCAGUUUCGACGGUCGGUCAAAGGCCCCCGGAAUGUGUCGUCUCUAGGGACGUCUUAUAGCCGGGGGUGCAAUGCGGCCCGUCGGGACUGAGGAACGCGCUUCGGCUCGGAUGCUGGCGUAAUGGCCGUAAGCGGCCCGUCUUGAAACACGGACCAAGGAGUCUAACAUCCACGCGAGUGUUCGGGUGUCAAACCCGUGCGCGCAGUGAAAGCGAACGGAGGUGGGAGCCUUUGGGCGCACCAUCGACCGAUCCUGAAGUCUUCGGAUGGAUUUGAGUAGGAGCGUGGCCGUUGGGACCCGAAAGAUGGUGAACUAUGCCUGAAUAGGGUGAAGCCAGAGGAAACUCUGGUGGAGGCUCGCAGCGGUUCUGACGUGCAAAUCGAUCGUCAAAUUU
Molecule: ribosomal RNA, 811 nt
Filed under: Trichophyton concentricum
Lineage: Eukaryota; Fungi; Ascomycota; Eurotiomycetes; Onygenales; Arthrodermataceae
Description: eukaryotic LSU rRNA
Rfam family: Eukaryotic large subunit ribosomal RNA
Source: RNAcentral